GUGGCAGGUGUGAUGAUAUCCUAUGCCUUGGGGAAGUCUAGGGAAUUUUCUUCAACCUACACUCAGAAUUAGAAAAAAACGUAAAUAAUUUAAAUUUCACGCUUUUUUGUCUUUUGUAUUGUUUAUACUUGACUAUGUUUAAGAAGUAUACUUGCUUCCCCUAAAAAGUUAAUCUAAAAUCGAUUUCAGCUAUACUAUUUUUUCCGUGUUUAGCUGACGAUGUCAGUUUGCUACAAUCACCAAGUCAACAAACGCGUUCGGAAAUUUGCUCUUGGUCGGAUGUGAUUUUGUAGGCGAAAUUGCUUAAAAAGAAAGUGUUUUUCGCGAAGUAAAUCAAGUUUACAGUUUUGCGAAAAGUGAGAAGUGUCUUUUGAGCCGUGGCACCCGAUUUCCUCCGAAUAUCAAGCGUCAUCCGUCGCGCCAUUGUGGAAUGUCCGGACCUCUGCUCCUGAAAUAACCCUGAAAAGUUUCCGGUGGUUUCAGUGUCCUAACCGGAACGCCCCAGAAACCAAACGCCCCAGACGCCGACCACUUCUGAUUGAUGCACAGCAAGAAAGUGAGGGAAUCCGACAUCUGCAAAUCCAAGCACUCGCGGGCCGCCGUUGGUCAUCACUUGGUCCGUUUUUCAACCGGCGUUAACGUGCCGCUGCUCAACUACCGUAGAGUGUGCUGAGUUACUUUUGGUUUUCACUGGACAAUGCUUCCCCGGACCGCCCCAGACGCCGAACCAAUUUGAACCGCACCGCCCCGGACCCUGAACCAAUGUAAACCGGAACACCCCGGACCCCGAACCAAUUUUAACCGUGCCGCCCCGGACCCCGAACUAAUUUGCACUGGAACGUCGCGGACCCCGAACCAACUUGAACCGGACCGCCUCAACACGUCAACUGCCUCUUGAUUGCUGCACAGUUCUUUCAGCAUGGACAGGUUGCCACAAGAACUUGGUCCGGAGGUCGCAGCGCAGUUAGCUGGUAAGUCUGUAUGCAUUUUAGUAAGUGUCAACAAAGAGUGACAUGGUCCAAACCAGACUCCUCAGACAUACAGUCAGGUUUUCUAUCCGACGUUGUCACUCACUUUACGCUCACCAUAACUUCUCAGAUGUCUUUCAAUCGAUCCUGGUGAAAUUUAGUAGUCUUUUUUACAUAUUACGCUGCAGCCACAAAUUAAAAGUUAAAUUGACUCCAUUACUGCUGAGAAAUUGCAGUGGGAGUGUCUUACAGGGAGACCUGUAGUAUGGGUUAUUACACAUGGCCUCGAUUUUUCCAAUAGUUAGGUUUAGCAGGUUUAUUUCAGAGUUUUUGAAGAAAUACGUUAAUGAUUUUUUCCAAGAUACUCUGCAAUAAUGGAACACCUGCUUU
Molecule: long non-coding RNA, 1358 nt
Filed under: Aedes aegypti (yellow fever mosquito)
Lineage: Eukaryota; Metazoa; Arthropoda; Insecta; Diptera; Culicidae
Description: lncRNA AAEL024647
Source: RNAcentral